CCUACGGGAGGCAGCAGUGAGGAAUAUUGGUCAAUGGACGCAAGUCUGAACCAGCCAUGCCGCGUGCAGGAAGACGGCUCUAUGAGUUGUAAACUGCUUUUGUACGAGGGUAAACGCAGAUACGCUGAUCUGUCUGAAAGUAUCGUACGAAUAAGGAUCGGCUAACUCCGUGCCAGCCGCCGCGGUAAUACGGAGGAUUCAAGCGUUAUCCGGAUUUAUUGGGUUUAAAGGGUGCGUAGGCGGUCGGAUAAGUUAGAGGUGAAAUCCCGAGGCUCAACUUCGGAAUUGCCUCUGAUACUGUUCGGCUAGAGAGUAGUUGCGGUAGGCGGAAUGUAUGGUGUAGCGGUGAAAUGCUUAGAGAUCAUACAGAACACCGAUUGCGAAGGCAGCUUACCAAGCUACUUCUGACGUUGAGGCACGAAAGCGUGGGGAGCAAACAGGAUUAGAUACCCUUGUAGUC
This 460-nucleotide ribosomal RNA is filed under the name uncultured bacterium. RNAcentral describes it as "partial 16S ribosomal RNA". It matches the Rfam family "Bacterial small subunit ribosomal RNA", at positions 338 to 795 of the family's 1533-position model. The record is from RNAcentral.